UAGGGAAUCUUCGGCAAUGGACGAAAGUCUGACCGAGCAACGCCGCGUGAGUGAAGAAGGUUUUCGGAUCGUAAAACUCUGUUGUUAGAGAAGAACAAGGACGUUAGUAACUGAACGUCCCCUGACGGUAUCUAACCAGAAAGCCACGGCUAACUACGUGCCAGCAGCCGCGGUAAUACGUAGGUGGCAAGCGUUGUCCGGAUUUAUUGGGCGUAAAGCGAGCGCAGGCGGUUUCUUAAGUCUGAUGUGAAAGCCCCCGGCUCAACCGGGGAGGGUCAUUGGAAACUGGGAGACUUGAGUGCAGAAGAGGAGAGUGGAAUUCCAUGUGUAGCGGUGAAAUGCGUAGUUAUAUGGAGGAACACCAGUGGCGAAGGCGGCUCUCUGGUCUGUAACUGACGCUGAGGCACGAAAGCGUGGGGAGCAAACAGG
Molecule: ribosomal RNA, 429 nt
Filed under: Gemmatimonadota bacterium
Lineage: Bacteria; Pseudomonadati; Gemmatimonadota
Description: Gemmatimonadetes bacterium partial 16S ribosomal RNA
Rfam family: Bacterial small subunit ribosomal RNA
Source: RNAcentral